AUGCGCUGCUACCAUGCAGUCGAGCGGGGCUUCGGAGAGAGCGGCGCGGGUGAUAGUAACGUGUGGGGAGGUUCUUUUGUCUGCCGAAUAGUCUGAAUGGACGUUGUUUAAUACCUUAUGUUGCCUGUUGGGUAUAGAUUUAUCGGAUACGCAUUCGCCCGCUUUAUGUUACUUAGUUGGGGGGGAAAUGGCCUACCAAGUCUACUAUCUAUAGCUGGUUUGAGAGGAUGAUCACCAACUCUGGGUCUGAGGCGCGGCCCACUCUUCUACGGGGGGCGGUGGUGGGGAAUUUUGUACAAGGGGUGCAACCCUGAUCCAUCUGUGCCGUGAGAGUGAUGAGUGCCUUAGGGUUGUAAAGCUCUUUCUCCUGAGAUGAUAAUGACAGUACCUGGAAAAAAAACCCCGGCUAACUCCGUGCCAGCACCCGCGGUAAUACAGAGGGUGUUAGCGUUGUUCGGAAUUACUGGGCGUAAAGCGCGCGUAGGCGGUUUAUUAAGUUAGGGGUGAAAUCCCGGGGCUCAACCCCGGAACUGCCUUUAAUACUGCUUGUCUAGAGUUCGAGAGAGGUGAGUGGAAUUCCGAGUGUAGAGGUGAAAUUCGUAGAUAUUCAGAGGAACACCAGUGGCGAAGGCGGCUCACUGGCUCGAUACUGACUCUGAUGUGCGAGUGUGUGGAGAGCAAACAAGAUUAUAUACUGUGGUAGUCCACGCUGUACAAUAUGAAUGCCAGUCGUCGGGUAGUAUACUAUUUUGUGACACAUCUAACAGAUUACGUAUUCCCUCUGGAGAGUACUCGUCGAGAGAAUAACACUCAGAAGAAUUGACGGGGGGCUCACACAAGCCGUAGAAUCAUGGUGUUUUAUCUCAGAGACAACGCACAAGAAUCAUUACCCACCUCUUGAACACUCCUG
This 910-nucleotide ribosomal RNA is filed under the name Roseovarius sp. RNAcentral's name for it is "bacterial SSU rRNA". It matches the Rfam family "Bacterial small subunit ribosomal RNA", at positions 44 to 993 of the family's 1533-position model. The record is from RNAcentral. Lineage: Bacteria; Pseudomonadati; Pseudomonadota; Alphaproteobacteria; Rhodobacterales; Roseobacteraceae.